This 796-nucleotide ribosomal RNA is filed under the name uncultured Glomeromycotina. RNAcentral's name for it is "SSU rRNA". It matches the Rfam family "Eukaryotic small subunit ribosomal RNA", at positions 314 to 1114 of the family's 1831-position model. The record is from RNAcentral. Lineage: Eukaryota; Fungi; Glomeromycota.
AUCAACUUUCGAUGGUAGGAUAGAGGCCUACCAUGGUGGUAACGGGUAACGGGGUGUUAGGGCACGACACCGGAGAGGGAGCCUGAGAAACGGCUACCACAUCCAAGGAUGGCAGCAGGCGCGCAAAUUACCCAAUCCCGACACGGGGAGGUAGUGACAAUAAAUAACAAUACGGGGUUCUUUAGGAUCUCGUAAUUGGAAUGAGUACAAUUUAAAUCUCUUAACGAGGAACAAUUGGAGGGCAAGUCUGGUGCCAGCAGCCGCGGUAAUUCCAGCUCCAAUAGCGUAUAUUAAAGUUGUUGCAGUUAAAAAGCUCGUAGUUGAAUUUCGGGGUUAGUAAGUUGGUCAUGCCUUCGGUAUGUACUGGCUUCACUGAUUCCUCCUUCUUGACGAACCGUGAUGUCAUUAAUUUGGUGUUGCGGGAAAUCAGGACUGUUACUUUGAAAAAAUUAGAGUGUUUAAAGCAGGCUAACGUUUGAAUACAUUAGCAUGGAAUAAUGAAAUAGGACGUUAAUCCUAUUUUGUUGGUUUCUAGGAUCGACGUAAUGAUUAAUAGGGAUAGUUGGGGGCAUUAGUAUUCAAUUGUCAGAGGUGAAAUUCUUGGAUUUAUUGAAGACUAACUACUGCGAAAGCAUUUGCCAAGGAUGUUUUCAUUAAUCAAGAACGAAAGUUAGGGGAUCGAAGACGAUCAGAUACCGUCGUAGUCUUAACCAUAAACUAUGCCGACUAGGGAUCGGAUGAUGUUAUUUUUAAUGACUCAUUCGGCGCCUUACGGGAAACCAAAGUGUUUGGGUUC